UACGAGCAUAUCACGUUCAAACACGGGUUCUCGUGCGAUCACCGAAGUUAAGCAACAUUGAUUCUGCUCAGUCCUGAGAUGAGUAACCGCUUUGAAAUACCGGGGACUGUAAU
Non-coding RNA from Acanthosepion pharaonis, 113 nucleotides. The record is from the annotation of a GenBank genome assembly. Lineage: Eukaryota; Metazoa; Mollusca; Cephalopoda; Sepiida; Sepiidae.